Molecule: transfer RNA, 73 nt
Filed under: Strongylocentrotus purpuratus (purple sea urchin)
Lineage: Eukaryota; Metazoa; Echinodermata; Echinoidea; Camarodonta; Strongylocentrotidae
Description: tRNA-Val (CAC) (tRNA-Val-CAC-10-1)
Rfam family: tRNA
About the family: Transfer RNA (tRNA) molecules are approximately 80 nucleotides in length. Their secondary structure includes four short double-helical elements and three loops (D, anti-codon, and T loops).
Source: Rfam by way of RNAcentral
GGGUCUGUAGUGUAGUGGUUAUUACGUGCGCCUCACACGUGCAAGGUCCCCGGUUCGCACCCGGGCGGACACA